Molecule: ribosomal RNA, 236 nt
Filed under: uncultured Pseudomonadales bacterium
Lineage: Bacteria; Pseudomonadati; Pseudomonadota; Gammaproteobacteria; Pseudomonadales
Description: partial 16S ribosomal RNA
Rfam family: Bacterial small subunit ribosomal RNA
Source: RNAcentral
UACUUAGUGGCGGACGGGUGAGUAAUGCUUAGGAAUCUGCCUAGUAGUGGGGGAUAACUUGGGAAACCCAAGCUAAUACCGCAUACGACCUACGGGUGAAAGGGGGCUUUUAGCUCUCGCUAUUAGAUGAGCCUAAGUCGGAUUAGCUGGUUGGUGGGGUAAAGGCCUACCAAGGCGACGAUCUGUAGCUGGUCUGAGAGGAUGAUCAGCCACACUGGGACUGAGACACGGCCCAG